This 433-nucleotide ribosomal RNA is filed under the name uncultured bacterium. RNAcentral describes it as "partial 16S ribosomal RNA". It matches the Rfam family "Bacterial small subunit ribosomal RNA", at positions 29 to 507 of the family's 1533-position model. The record is from RNAcentral.
AACGAACGCUGGCGGCAUGCCUAACACAUGCGAGUCGAACGAGACCUUCGGGUCUAGUGGCGCACGGGUGCGUAACGCGUGGGAACCUGCCCUUAGGUUCGGAAUAACUCCCCGAAAGGGGUGCUAAUGCCGGAUAAUGUCUUCGGACCAAAGAUUUAUCGCCUUUGGAUGGGCCCGCGUUGGAUUAGCUAGUUGGUAGGGUAAAAGCCUACCAAGGCGACGAUCCAUAGCUGGUCUGAGAGGAUGAUCAGCCACACUGGGACUGAGACACGGCCCAGACUCCUACGGGAGGCAGCAGUGGGGAAUAUUGGACAAUGGGCGAAAGCCUGAUCCAGCAAUGCCGCGUGAGUGAUGAAGGCCUUAGGGUUGUAAAGCUCUUUUACCCGGGAUGAUAAUGACAGUACCGGGAGAAUAAGCUCCGGCUAACUCCGUG